RNAcentral lists this transfer RNA (67 nucleotides) under Paegniodes cupulatus. Its description in RNAcentral is "tRNA-Tyr". It matches the Rfam family "tRNA". From Rfam's summary of the family: Transfer RNA (tRNA) molecules are approximately 80 nucleotides in length. Their secondary structure includes four short double-helical elements and three loops (D, anti-codon, and T loops). Further hydrogen bonds mediate the characteristic L-shaped molecular structure. tRNAs have two regions of fundamental functional importance: the anti-codon, which is responsible for specific mRNA codon recognition, and the 3' end, to which the tRNAs corresponding amino acid is attached (by aminoacyl-tRNA synthetases). tRNAs cope with the degeneracy of the genetic code in two manners: having more than one tRNA (with a specific anti-codon) for a particular amino acid; and 'wobble' base-pairing, i.e. permitting non-standard base-pairing at the 3rd anti-codon position. The record is from RNAcentral. Lineage: Eukaryota; Metazoa; Arthropoda; Insecta; Ephemeroptera; Heptageniidae.
GGUAGGGUGGCUGAGUUAAGGUAAUAGACUGUAAAUCUAUUUAGGAGGGUUGACCCCUCCCUUACCA